Non-coding RNA from Dryococelus australis, 73 nucleotides. The record is from the annotation of a GenBank genome assembly. NCBI's taxonomy places the organism in Eukaryota, Metazoa, Arthropoda, Insecta, Phasmatodea, Phasmatidae.
GCCCCUGAGGACUAAUGGAUAAGACAUCGGUCCUCUAAACCGGGGCCUCUGGGUUCGAAACCCACCAGGGGUA